CCUGCUCUCUGCGCACCUCUAGCGUUCCUGUAUAUGCUCCCGUGAGCAGAGUUGCGCAUAACUUUUCCGGCGCCGCUCGCACCGCUAUUCGCCGAGUGCGAUCACGUGGUGCAAAAUGACGUCAAAUGAUCAACUGCGCGAUCCAAAGCCGACUUUACGGAAACGGCGCCUACUCGUUUCUGUCAGUGCCAUCGAAAUUGCAAUCAGCAGACCGUCGAGCGUGCGUAGAAAUGAUCGGCUCCGGGUUGCAGGUAUGGUAUUCGAGGAUAUUAAGUUAAUGACUUUGGUGAAGUUCUACGAAGCAGGUCAUUUUGACACUUGUAUUCCAGUAUGACGAGUUGCAGCGCACCAAAUCGCGCAAAUCGCACGGAAGGUGGCGAAGCUUUUUACGCGGUGCCGUGCGGGCGGACGAGACCGGCCGGCUCCGGAAGGGACCAGGAUAUGCGAGAUCCGUUUGCCUUGUUUACAGAGUGGCUUUGAAUUCUGCCCCCAAGGCUCCAAGAACCAGCACUCAUCCCCUGCUGCCACCAGCCAUUGCUUAUCCAUUUCCUUGUAUGAAAUAAAUUUGAUCUAGAAGCUCGUG
Molecule: long non-coding RNA, 583 nt
Filed under: Dermacentor andersoni
Lineage: Eukaryota; Metazoa; Arthropoda; Arachnida; Ixodida; Ixodidae
Description: uncharacterized LOC126547052
Source: RNAcentral